RNAcentral lists this ribosomal RNA (424 nucleotides) under uncultured bacterium. RNAcentral's name for it is "partial 16S ribosomal RNA". It matches the Rfam family "Bacterial small subunit ribosomal RNA", at positions 360 to 776 of the family's 1533-position model. The record is from RNAcentral.
AAUUUUGGACAAUGGGCGCAGGCCUGAUCCAGCCAUGCCGCGUGAGUGAAGAAGGCCUUCGGGUUGUAAAGCUCUUUCGUACGGCAAGAACUCGCGCAGGCUAAUACCCUUCGCGGAUGACGGUACCGUCAUAAGAAGCACCGGCUAACUACGUGCCAGCAGCCGCGGUAAUACGUAGGGUGCGUGCGUUAAUCGGAAUUACUGGGCGUAAAGCGUGCGCAGGCGGUUGAUUAAGACAGGCGUGAAAUCCCCGGGCUUAACCUGGGAACUGCGCUUGUGACUGGUCAGCUAGAGUACGGCAGAGGGGGGUGGAAUUCCAUGUGUAGCGGUGAAAUGCGUAAAUAUAUGGAGGAACACCAGAGGCGAAGGCGGCUUACUAGAUCGAUACUGACGCUCAUGCACGAAAGCGUGGGUAGCAAACAGG